UUUAUGGAGAGUUUGAUCCUGGCUCAGAGUGAACGCUGGCGGCGUGCCUAAUACAUGCAAGUCGAACGAUGAAGCUUCUAGCUUGCUAGAGUGCUGAUUAGUGGCGCACGGGUGAGUAACGCAUAGGUCAUGUGCCUCUUAGUUUGGGAUAGCCAUUGGAAACGAUGAUUAAUACCAGAUACUCCCUACGGGGGAAAGAUUUAUCGCUAAGAGAUCAGCCUAUGUCCUAUCAGCUUGUUGGUAAGGUAAUGGCUUACCAAGGCUAUGACGGGUAUCCGGCCUGAGAGGGUGAACGGACACACUGGAACUGAGACACGGUCCAGACUCCUACGGGAGGCAGCAGUAGGGAAUAUUGCUCAAUGGGGGAAACCCUGAAGCAGCAACGCCGCGUGGAGGAUGAAGGUUUUAGGAUUGUAAACUCCUUUUGUUAGAGAAGAUAAUGACGGUAUCUAACGAAUAAGCACCGGCUAACUCCGUGCCAGCAGCCGCGGUAAUACGGAGGGUGCAAGCGUUACUCGGAAUCACUGGGCGUAAAGAGCGCGUAGGCGGGAUAGUCAGUCAGGUGUGAAAUCCUAUGGCUUAACCAUAGAACUGCAUUUGAAACUACUAUUCUAGAGUGUGGGAGAGGUAGGUGGAAUUCUUGGUGUAGGGGUAAAAUCCGUAGAGAUCAAGAGGAAUACUCAUUGCGAAGGCGACCUGCUGGAACAUUACUGACGCUGAUUGCGCGAAAGCGUGGGGAGCAAACAGGAUUAGAUACCCUGGUAGUCCACGCCCUAAACGAUGGAUGCUAGUUGUUGGAGGGCUUAGUCUCUCCAGUAAUGUAGCUAACGCAUUAAGCAUCCCGCCUGGGGAGUACGGUCGCAAGAUUAAAACUCAAAGGAAUAGACGGGGACCCGCACAAGCGGUGGAGCAUGUGGUUUAAUUCGAAGAUACACGAAGAACCUUACCUAGGCUUGACAUUGAGAGAAUCCGCUAGAAAUAGUGGAGUGUCUGGCUUGCUAGACCUUGAAAACAGGUGCUGCACGGCUGUCGUCAGCUCGUGUCGUGAGAUGUUGGGUUAAGUCCCGCAACGAGCGCAACCCCCUUUCUUAGUUGCUAACAGGUCAUGCUGAGAACUCUAAGGAUACUGCCUCCGUAAGGAGGAGGAAGGUGGGGACGACGUCAAGUCAUCAUGGCCCUUACGCCUAGGGCUACACACGUGCUACAAUGGGGUGCACAAAGAGAAGCAAUACUGCGAAGUGGAGCCAAUCUUCAAAACGCCUCUCAGUUCGGAUUGUAGGCUGCAACUCGCCUGCAUGAAGCUGGAAUCGCUAGUAAUCGCAAAUCAGCCAUGUUGCGGUGAAUACGUUCCCGGGUCUUGUACUCACCGCCCGUCACACCAUGGGAGUUGUGUUUGCCUUAAGUCAGGAUGCUAAAUUGGCUACUGCCCACGGCACACACAGCGACUGGGGUGAAGUCGUAACAAGGUAACCGUAGGUGAACCUGCGGUUGGAUCACCUCCUUUCUA
RNAcentral lists this ribosomal RNA (1507 nucleotides) under Helicobacter pylori UM037. Its description in RNAcentral is "bacterial SSU rRNA". It matches the Rfam family "Bacterial small subunit ribosomal RNA". The record is from RNAcentral. Lineage: Bacteria; Pseudomonadati; Campylobacterota; Epsilonproteobacteria; Campylobacterales; Helicobacteraceae.